This 390-nucleotide long non-coding RNA is filed under the name Chinchilla lanigera (long-tailed chinchilla). RNAcentral describes it as "lncRNA (ENSCLAG00000028657.1)". Lineage: Eukaryota; Metazoa; Chordata; Mammalia; Rodentia; Chinchillidae. The record is from RNAcentral.
AUCUGCUUCUGAAUUUGGAGCUUAUGGAAAUACAGAACACAACAGAGAGAGAAUGAGAUAAAACAUCACCCUUAUCACUGAUAAAUAUAGUUACAGGGAGAGUACUGCUUUGUGUCAUCCAGCAAUUGGGCUCAACUACAUGCAUCAGAUCACAGGUACACAGAGAGCCACAGGUCUUGCUGCGGAGUGAAGAAACAACAAAAAGAUUGGCUUUGAGACAGGGGAGCACAAGGAGGUCCUCAGCAAAGGAUGCUGCUGUUCAACUCACCAGUCGGCCCACUGAACAUGAUGGGAAGAAGAAAAUGCAGUUCUGAUUUUACACUUCAAGGGACUUUGCAAACUUUGGGCUCCCUUUCAUGGAAGUCAUAGCACAAGCCUGGGCUCAUCUCC